Molecule: ribosomal RNA, 357 nt
Filed under: Triticum aestivum (bread wheat)
Lineage: Eukaryota; Viridiplantae; Streptophyta; Magnoliopsida; Poales; Poaceae
Description: partial small subunit ribosomal RNA
Source: RNAcentral
AUGGGAGAGGUGGCCUACAAGUUGGAGUUACCCGAAGGACUGUCUGGAGUUCAUGAUGUGUUUCACGUUUCCCAGUUGAAGAAGUGUCAUGCUGAGAUGGCCGAUAUUCCUCUAAGAGUUACAGUGCCCCUGGAAGCAAUUCAGUUGGAUAGUGAUCUGACCUAUGAGGAUAAACCAGUCAAGAUUCUCGAGUUUGCCAGCCGAGUCACACGCAGCAAGGUUAUCAAGUUUUGCAAAGUUCAGUGGAGCCACCAUACCGAGGAUGAAGCCACCUGGGAACGAGAGGAAGAUCUACGCAAAGACCACCCACACCUAUUUUCUAGCCAACCCGAAUCUCGAGGGCGAGAUUCAUCUUAA